CGAUGAUGACUGAUGAGGGGGGCGAGGACGACGAAGACGACGAGGUUCAGGUCUUACAAUCCUCCAGAGGGCCACCGGUUCAGUCGGCAGACGACGACGAGGAUGACGAUGAAGAUGACGAUGGUGAAGGCGGAGACGACGAUGACGAUGGUGAAGGCGGAGAUGACGAUGAUGAUGACGACGACGACGAGGAGGAAAAUGAUGACGAGGAUGAAGACGGUGAAGAAGAGGUAAUAUAUGUCCAAAUUUAUAUAAUUUUCUGCAUAUACUUCAUUUCUCUCAUCUGGGACUGGGUUGCGUUCUCUGUUGGUGCCGGA
Molecule: long non-coding RNA, 317 nt
Filed under: Manihot esculenta (cassava)
Lineage: Eukaryota; Viridiplantae; Streptophyta; Magnoliopsida; Malpighiales; Euphorbiaceae
Description: long non-coding RNA (MESC_LNC005221)
Source: RNAcentral